GAAAGUAUAUUCAUCAAGGUUCGAUUACAUAAUUUAUUCACUAUUUAAUUCCACUCCUACGAAUUCUUGUGAUUUUUCCAAUCCACACCACUGCUGCUGUCAGCCUCUGUUUUCUGAGUAAACCUUACCUAUUUUCGGGGUUUCAUGGACCAACUAGGGCCUUGUCAUACAUAUGCCCACAUAUGAUCAUACUUAGCCAUUCCAAUGGCUGAUCAUUUGCUCAAAACUUCCAUUCCAACUAUAGUUACAUCAUGAAACCAUCUAUACAUUCAUAAACACGAAUGGUCUAAU
RNAcentral lists this long non-coding RNA (291 nucleotides) under Gossypium barbadense (sea-island cotton). Its description in RNAcentral is "long non-coding RNA (GBAR_LNC008093)". The record is from RNAcentral. Lineage: Eukaryota; Viridiplantae; Streptophyta; Magnoliopsida; Malvales; Malvaceae.